Molecule: ribosomal RNA, 309 nt
Filed under: Clostridioides difficile
Lineage: Bacteria; Bacillati; Bacillota; Clostridia; Peptostreptococcales; Peptostreptococcaceae
Description: bacterial LSU rRNA
Rfam family: Bacterial large subunit ribosomal RNA
Source: RNAcentral
UGGUCAAGUUAUUAAGGGUGCAGGGCGGAUGCCUUGGCACUAGGAGCCGAUGAAGGACGUGAUAAGCUGCGAUAAGCUUCGGGGAGUUGCACGUAAACUUUGAUCCGAAGAUUUCCGAAUGAGGAAACUCACUUAGAGUAAUGUCUAAGUAUCAUUAAGUGAAUACAUAGCUUAAUGAGGGGAACUCAGGGAACUGAAACAUCUAAGUACCUGAAGGAAGAGAAAGAAAUUCGAUUCCGUAAGUAGCGGCGAGCGAACGCGGAUUAGCCCAAACCAAUAAAGUUUUCUUUAUUGGGGUUGCGGACAUAU